Long non-coding RNA from Gallus gallus (chicken), 250 nucleotides. The record is from Ensembl. Lineage: Eukaryota; Metazoa; Chordata; Aves; Galliformes; Phasianidae.
CGCGAGUUUCGAGACGGCAGUACCCAUGCGCGAGGUGGCAGCAGAUACCGUGGAAACAACAACUCUGCCGCCUUUUAGCGGACUGCCUGGGACCGUGGGCGCGCAUCCCCUCCUCUCUUUUUUUUCUUGGCAGAGGAUGGUGGGAGGAAGAAGGGGAGACGACAAAGAAAAGCAAGGAAAACUUCGACAAACCCUCCAACCCCGUGCUAAAUGCUUUGGUAUACCUGUAAAUAAAUGAAUACAUAACCAG